Molecule: ribosomal RNA, 497 nt
Filed under: uncultured bacterium
Lineage: Bacteria
Description: partial 16S ribosomal RNA
Rfam family: Bacterial small subunit ribosomal RNA
Source: RNAcentral
GAUGAACGCUGGCGGCGUGCCUAAUACAUGCAAGUCGAGCGAACAGAUGAGGAGCUUGCUCCUUUGACGUUAGCGGCGGACGGGUGAGUAACACGUAGGUAACCUACCUAUAAGACUGGGAUAACUUCGGGAAACCGGAGCUAAUACCGGAUAAUAUUUCGAACUGCAUGGUUCGAUAGUGAAAGAUGGCUUUGCUAUCACUUAUAGAUGGACCUGCGCCGUAUUAGCUAGUUGGUAAGGUAACGGCUUACCAAGGCAACGAUACGUAGCCGACCUGAGAGGGUGAUCGGCCACACUGGAACUGAGACACGGUCCAGACUCCUACGGGAGGCAGCAGUAGGGAAUCUUCCGCAAUGGGCGAAAGCCUGACGGAGCAACGCCGCGUGAGUGAUGAAGGUCUUCGGAUCGUAAAACUCUGUUAUUAGGGAAGAACAAACGUGUAAGUAACUGUGCACGUCUUGACGGUACCUAAUCAGAAAGCCACGGCUAACUACGUG